Molecule: ribosomal RNA, 238 nt
Filed under: uncultured bacterium
Lineage: Bacteria
Description: partial 16S ribosomal RNA
Rfam family: Bacterial small subunit ribosomal RNA
Source: RNAcentral
UGGCGAACGGGUGAGUAACGCGUGAGGAACCUGCCUCAUACAGGGGGAUAACAGUUGGAAACGGCUGCUAAUACCGCAUAAGCGCACAGUACCGCAUGGUACGGUGUGAAAAACUCCGGUGGUAUGAGAUGGACCCGCGUCUGAUUAGCUAGUUGGUGGGGUAACGGCCUACCAAGGCGACGAUCAGUAGCCGGCCUGAGAGGGUGAACGGCCACAUUGGGACUGAGACACGGCCCAA